UCUCCGUAGGUGAACCUGCGGAGGGAUCAUUACUGAGUGAGGGCUCACGCCCGACCUCCAACCCUUUGUGAACACAUCUUGUUGCUUCGGGGGCGACCCGGCCCUCUGGGCGUCGGGGCCCCCGGUGGCUCACACCUCAACUCUUGCAUCUGUGCGUCUGAGUAACAUAUUGAAUCAAUCAAAACUUUCAACAACGGAUCUCUUGGUUCUGGCAUCGAUGAAGAACGCAGC
RNAcentral lists this unclassified non-coding RNA (231 nucleotides) under uncultured fungus. RNAcentral's name for it is "sequence contains ITS1, 5.8S rRNA gene". The stretch from base 183 to 231 matches the Rfam family "5.8S ribosomal RNA", at positions 1 to 49 of the family's 154-position model. The record is from RNAcentral. Lineage: Eukaryota; Fungi.